RNAcentral lists this unclassified non-coding RNA (384 nucleotides) under uncultured bacterium. RNAcentral's name for it is "contains 16S-23S intergenic spacer region". The record is from RNAcentral.
UCCGGCUUAUCACCGGCAGUUUCCUCAGAGUUCCCAGCAUUACCUGUUGGCAACAGAGGACGAGGGUUGCGCUCGUUGCGGGACUUAACCCAACAUCUCACGACACGAGCUGACGACAGCCAUGCAGCACCUGUGCAUCUCCCACCCGAGGUGAAGGAAUCCAUUUCUGGAAACCAAAGAGAGCAUGUCAAAGCCUGGUAAGGUUCUUCGCGUUGCCUCGAAUUAAACCACAUGUUCCACCGCUUGUGCGGGUCCCCGUCAAUUCCUUUGAGUUUUAGCCUUGCGGCCGUACUCCCCAGGCGGGGCGCUUAAUGCGUUAGCUACGGCACGGAUCCCGUGGAAGGAAACCCACACCUAGCGCCCACCGUUUACGGCGUGGACUAC